GACGAACGCUGGCGGCGUGCCUAAUACAUGCAAGUUGAGCGAUGAAGAUUGGUGCUUGCUCCAAUUUGAAGAGCAGCGAACGGGUGAGUAACGCGUGGGGAAUCUGCCUUUGAGCGGGGGACAACAUUUGGAAACGAAUGCUAAUACCGCAUAACAACUUUAAACAUAAGUUUUAAGUUUGAAAGAUGCAAUUGCAUCACUCAAAGAUGAUCCCGCGUUGUAUUAGCUAGUUGGUGAGGUAAAGGCUCACCAAGGCGAUGAUACAUAGCCGACCUGAGAGGGUGAUCGGCCACAUUGGGACUGAGACACGCCCCAAACUCCUGCGGGAGGCAGCAGUAGGGAAUCUUCGGCAAUGGACGAAAGUCUGACCGAGCAACGCCGCGUGAGUGAAGAAGGUUUUCGGAUCGUAAAACUCUGUUGGUAGAGAAGAACGUUGGUGAGAGUGGAAAGCUCAUCAAGUGACGGUAACUACCCAGAAAGGGACGGCUAACUACGUG
This 497-nucleotide ribosomal RNA is filed under the name uncultured bacterium. RNAcentral describes it as "partial 16S ribosomal RNA". It matches the Rfam family "Bacterial small subunit ribosomal RNA", at positions 28 to 507 of the family's 1533-position model. The record is from RNAcentral.